RNAcentral lists this ribosomal RNA (301 nucleotides) under uncultured bacterium. RNAcentral's name for it is "partial 16S ribosomal RNA". It matches the Rfam family "Bacterial small subunit ribosomal RNA", at positions 509 to 809 of the family's 1533-position model. The record is from RNAcentral.
CAGUAGCCGCGGGAAUACGGAGGAUCCAAGCGUUAUCCGGAAUCAUUGGGUUUAAAGGGUCCGUAGGCGGUCUUGUAAGUCAGUGGUGAAAGCCCAUCGCUCAACGGUGGAACGGCCAUUGAUACUGCAGGACUUGAAUUAUUGGGAAGUAACUAGAAUAUGUAGUGUAGCGGUGAAAUGCUUAGAGAUUACAUGGAAUACCAAUUGCGAAGGCAGGUUACUACCAAUUGAUUGACGCUGAUGGACGAAAGCGUGGGUAGCGAACAGGAUUAGAUACCCCCGUAUCCCUGUCUCUUAUACA